This 776-nucleotide long non-coding RNA is filed under the name Notechis scutatus (mainland tiger snake). RNAcentral's name for it is "lncRNA (ENSNSUG00000010617.1)". The record is from RNAcentral. Lineage: Eukaryota; Metazoa; Chordata; Lepidosauria; Squamata; Elapidae.
GUUUUUCUUUCUGUUCCUAUUCAAAACUGCUACAUUGUCUGCAAAUGGCUCUAAGAAACCACUAGCAACUACUGAUGGGAACGGACCAACAAAACUGCCAUUUUUUUUAUUUAUUCGUAUCCCCUUUAUUAUUUUUACAGAUAAUUCAAGGCAACAAAUAUACUUAAUACUCCUUCUUCCUCUUAUUUUUCCCACAACAGCAUCACCAUGAAGUGAGUUGGGUUGAAAGAGAGUGACUGGCCCAAGGUCACCCAGAUGGCUUUUAUGGCUAAGGCAGGAUUUCAACGCACCAUCACCUGGUGCCUUAACCACUACACCAAAAGGAAGCCAGCUCCUCAUUGAAUCAGUCCCAGAAAUCAACCUCCAGAUGACACCUGUCUUCUGUCAAAGGAUACAGCUUGUGUUGAGGGCCAUACACCAGAAAUGUAGAGACCAGACUCAAAUAAACAAAUAAGCAAUAGUUUGUGCUUAAAAUCUCCUGAAACCAAGAGGAGGAGAGCUUAAGGGCCCAGUGACAAUAGCUCGCAGAAAUGAGUUGUGUUCUGCUUUGAAGAACAUGGCUGGCUGCUAUCACCCAAUUAGCAGUCACUGGCCAGUGACAUCUUGUCCAGUUUCUCUCUCCUACUGUGUUGGGGUGCCGGCUUGAAGCAAAAGAAACUCUAAAAGGGCAUCACACUGUCUGGUUUGGUGCACUCACAAAACUUUCCAGCAAGCUGAUAUCUGCUUUGGGAGCCACUUUGGUGAAGAACUGAGCAAUAAAUCUAAGGAAUAUAACA